This 450-nucleotide ribosomal RNA is filed under the name uncultured bacterium. Its description in RNAcentral is "bacterial SSU rRNA". It matches the Rfam family "Bacterial small subunit ribosomal RNA", at positions 28 to 507 of the family's 1533-position model. The record is from RNAcentral.
GAUGAACGCUGGCGGCGUGCCUAACACAUGCAAGUCGAGCGAUCUUCUUCGGAAGAGAGCGGCGGACGGGUGAGUAACGCGUGGGUAACCUGCCCUGUACACACGGAUAACAUACCGAAAGGUAUGCUAAUACGGGAUAAUAUGCUUUUAUCGCAUGGUAGAAGUAUCAAAGCUCCGGCGGUACAGGAUGGACCCGCGUCUGAUUAGCUAGUUGGUAAGGUAACGGCUUACCAAGGCGACGAUCAGUAGCCGACCUGAGAGGGUGAUCGGCCACACUGGGACUGAGACACGGCCCAGACUCCUACGGGGGCAGCAGUAGGGAAUUUUCGGCAAUGGGCGAAAGCCUGACCGAGCGACGCCGCGUGAGGGACGAAGGCCUUCGGGUUGUAAACCUCUGUCUGGGGGAUGAGAACGGACGGUACCCCGGACGGAAGCCCGGCUAACUACGUG